ACGGAAGGCAGCAGUGAGGAAUAUUGGUCAAUGGGCGGAAGCCUGAACCAGCCAAGUCGCGUGAAGGAAGACGGUAUUAUGUAUUGUAAACUUCUUUAGCAGUAGAGCAAUAAGCGCCACGUGUGGCGUGAUGAGAGUAUACUGAGAAUAAGCAUCGGCUAAUUCCGUGCCAGCAGCCGCGGUAAUACGGAAGGUCCGGGCGUUAUCCGGAUUUAUUGGGUUUAAAGGGAGCGUAGGCCGUGCUUUAAGCGUGUUGUGAAAUGUAGGCGCCCAACGUCUGCACUGCAGCGCGAACUGGAGCACUUGAGUACGCAGGAAGUAGGCGGAAUUCGUCGUGUAGCGGUGAAAUGCUUAGAUAUGACGAAGAACUCCGAUUGGGAAGCCAGCUUACUGUAGCGCCACUGACGCUGAUGCUCGAAAGCGUGGGUAUCGAACAGGAUUAGAUACCCUGGUA
RNAcentral lists this ribosomal RNA (454 nucleotides) under uncultured Prevotella sp. RNAcentral describes it as "partial 16S ribosomal RNA". It matches the Rfam family "Bacterial small subunit ribosomal RNA", at positions 341 to 792 of the family's 1533-position model. The record is from RNAcentral. Lineage: Bacteria; Pseudomonadati; Bacteroidota; Bacteroidia; Bacteroidales; Prevotellaceae.